RNAcentral lists this transfer RNA (86 nucleotides) under Meloidogyne enterolobii. RNAcentral's name for it is "tRNA-Gln". The stretch from base 13 to 84 matches the Rfam family "tRNA". Rfam says of the family: Transfer RNA (tRNA) molecules are approximately 80 nucleotides in length. Their secondary structure includes four short double-helical elements and three loops (D, anti-codon, and T loops). Further hydrogen bonds mediate the characteristic L-shaped molecular structure. tRNAs have two regions of fundamental functional importance: the anti-codon, which is responsible for specific mRNA codon recognition, and the 3' end, to which the tRNAs corresponding amino acid is attached (by aminoacyl-tRNA synthetases). tRNAs cope with the degeneracy of the genetic code in two manners: having more than one tRNA (with a specific anti-codon) for a particular amino acid; and 'wobble' base-pairing, i.e. permitting non-standard base-pairing at the 3rd anti-codon position. The record is from RNAcentral. Lineage: Eukaryota; Metazoa; Nematoda; Chromadorea; Rhabditida; Meloidogynidae.
GUAUCGUUUAACGGUCCUAUAGUGUAGCGGUUAGCACUCUGGACUUUGAAUCCAGCAGCGGCGGUUCAAAUCCGCCUAGGACCUAG